RNAcentral lists this ribosomal RNA (253 nucleotides) under uncultured bacterium. RNAcentral describes it as "partial 16S ribosomal RNA". It matches the Rfam family "Bacterial small subunit ribosomal RNA", at positions 524 to 776 of the family's 1533-position model. The record is from RNAcentral.
UACGGAGGGGGCUAGCGUUGUUCGGAAUUACUGGGCGUAAAGAGUGCGUAGGUGGUUUAGUAAGUUGGAAGUGAAAGCCCGGGGCUUAACCUCGGAAUAGCUUUCAAAACUACUAAUCUAGAGUGUAGUAGGGGAUGAUGGAAUUCCUAGUGUAGAGGUGAAAUUCUUAGAUAUUAGGAGGAACACCGGUGGCGAAGGCGGUCAUCUGGGCUACAACUGACACUGAUGCACGAAAGCGUGGGGAGCAAACAGG